RNAcentral lists this unclassified non-coding RNA (3069 nucleotides) under Hevea brasiliensis (rubber tree). Lineage: Eukaryota; Viridiplantae; Streptophyta; Magnoliopsida; Malpighiales; Euphorbiaceae. The record is from RNAcentral.
GUCAAUAGUGUCUUAAAUUAGUCUCCAUAAAAAAUUGUCCAGAAGUUAAACAUGUCUAAAAUGAGAAUUUUUAAAAUAAUGCUUAUAGAUAGGCUACCACUUAAGCAAUUCCAUGGAUGAUAGAAAGUGGUCCUGCAGCAUCAGAUUUUCCAUGGAAAUGUAGUGAAUAAAACAAUGCGGGAUAUCAUAAACCACAAUUUAGCAUCAAUUCUUGGUGUUUCUUUUGCACUUGAAUAACUCUGAUUCCAUCGAAUAAUGAAUUUUGUUUUCUCACAAGAAUUCUUCACCCUUAUCUCUGGAUAAAAGGCCAGAGAAUAGGACUUCAACUAUUGCCUACCCAGCACCCAGUACCAAUUACCAUGCAAAAGCACAUCCAACCAAACGUUUUCUAAAAUACAUAAAUGCCGAAGACUAUACAUUGUGAAUCUAAUUAUGUAAUACACGUAGCUAUACAUUGUACACAAGAAGACAACAUUUGAGGAUCUGCGCUUGCUUUGCCUCUUGCAUCUUAUUUUUCUUCAAUUUUAGCUGCCUGCAGGAUAAAUAAUGAUAAUUUCCUUCUAUUCCUUUGAAUUGGGUUGAAUGACGGUACUUAUUGCAGAACAAACAGCAUCAACUGCUAGCUUCUUCAACAUAUUUGGACAUGGGUCAGGACCAAAGUUGCUGCUCGAUAUGGUAAUCAUGCAGCUCUCAUGUCCAAUGCAUUUCUUUUCUAUACUGGAAUGAGUGUUUGGUGCAUGGCAAGUUCCUUUCUGAAAACUUCCACAAGUUCCCGAAGGAGUACCAAAACUUGCAAAUUUUAUAGCUGAUAUCGAAUGCCCAGGUGCACACCGCAGGUGAACAUUGGCUUGGUGAAGCAUGGCUGAUUCACCAUGGUUCUCUGUAUGAUAAUCCUCAAUGGCUGGGUGGUGCUCAUAGGCAUCAGCGCAAACACUUGUGAUUGAUCUCUUAACAAGAGAUAUCUUUGAUAAAUCUCCACCUAGCUCUUCAAAAACUACCAACAUAUUUUUCAUUGGCUUCAACCAGGACCUUGGAAUAUUAUACCAUCGCUGUGUUGGUUGGCCACAACCAAGUUGGCAUUUUGUAGGCCGGAAUGUCCCAGCGUAACUGCAACGACUGCAGUCACCCUUUGCAUAAGCCAUCCAGUAUCUUCCAAUGCUCUGCCCAUUGAUCCAAACUUGACCCUUUCCCAUGCUGUUCAUGUCUAAAGCCAAUGGCUCAUUUCCUCUAGGUGCAUCAAAAUAAGCCUGAAAUUCUCACACCACAAAGCAUCCUCAUAAGUUUUAACUAAGCUUUGUAACUUUAAUUUCUGCUAUUCUGCACCUCGUACCUUAUGCCACUUCAAGAGCUGCCCUUGAUUUCUAGCUAGGGAUCCUUGGAUCCAUUCAACGGAUGAGGCUCCAUUUGGAGAGACCAGAUUCAAUGCCUCUCCUCUUAGACCAACCUGAUAGGACCAUUUAUACCAUGUUAAGUCCUUGUUUCCCUGAUUAAGGCCGUUCAAUGUAACUGGACCUAGUAUACCUGUUUUCCAUGUCUCAUAAUGCAACCCAACAUUCUUGAACAACAAAGAAAUUAAUUAGUCAGUACUUGAAAUACUUUUGAGGAACUACGAUCCAACUUGGUGUUUUUAUAGCAAGUUGAACUUCUCAUUUGAAUUAUAGAUGCUACACUUGCAUUAAGAAAGGGACGUGAGAAAGGAACCAACAGGCAACCCAACAGCUAUGCUGAGUAGUGAAAUUCUAUUCAUUCCAGCACGUAGGUUGACUGGUCCUGUAAAGGUGAUUUGCCUGUUCUCUCUAGUCCCAAAAGCCGAUCCUGAAAACUGCCCAUUGAUGAAGACAUGAAGACCAUGGCCUGCUGACUGCACAGUGAGACUAGGCUUUUGUCCAUUUUGAAGAAACGCUUCUGAUGGGCUAAUGUCAACACUGGGAUGAAAUUGAAGCUGAAAAAGUUAAUCUCAUGAUGCCAUAUGUAAGAAUCAUUGACAAAUCAAUCAUAUUGGGGUGACAUUGUGUGCUAUAGAUAGACCUAAUGGGAAUAAAGACAACAAAGGCACCAUCAAUCAAUCAGGCUUUUACCAUCUGCUACUUUCCUCCCUCUCCUCCCACCCCACUUCCCAAAUUUGCCUAACACUAACUCAAUGCAAAUCCUUCAUAAUCCAAAUACAAUGCAGCUGAGAGUAGAAUUGAAUACAUGUUAUACAAUGCUCCACUAGAACAAGGGAAGAAUGUCAUCUCUAAAAAUUUUUAAAUAUAAUACUUAAGGUGAGAUGUCAGAACUUAUGCCAUAACACCACUAUGGCAGCACAAUAGGCUACAUUGUCAAAGAAAAGUAAAAUUAAAUUUAUUUGAAUUCAUGAUGUGCUUUUAUGGUGUCUCCAGAUUUUUCAUUUUUUCAAUUAACUUUGCAAACAGGUGGAAAAAAUGAAGUGUUUAAUUAGUCUCUAUGUCAGGGAGUUGAUAACUAUGCAUAUAGUUUUGCACUGAGCUCACCUGGUCAAGUACCACAGAUAGUCACUAGAAUCUCUAGUGACAUUUAUCUGCUCCAAAAGUCCCAGAGAUGUCAUCCUUGAACUAUCCUCUAGAGAAGAGAUUUCUUCGUCAUAAGUCUCCCAAGAGAACAACUCAGAACCAGUUGGCAACAUCUGCAUAUGUGAAGUUUGAGUUCCAACCCUUGCAGUGUUAAAUACAACAUUCCUGCAAUCAGGAAGAAUACUGAUGGACCAGGGAGGCAAAUCAUAGUGCAUGUUAUUGAACAUGACCCUAGUAGCAGAGUUUGCAUGGUAAUUGGAAAGAAAAGCUGCACAGCUUCUCUGCCCUGAAGAAAAUAUAUGAGCCUGUUGGUAGGUUCCUAAUGAAGUUACUCUGGGAUCUGAAGAAACUAAAGCAUGUUCACAUAACUUAAUAGCUCUGUGAAGCUCUUUUAGAUGGCCAUAUUUAGGUUCCCUGAUCAAACCUAGACCAGUGAAAUUGUUAGCCACAAUAUACCUUAAAGCAUCUUGAUCUUUUGAGAUUUUCAUCAUGAUGGAUGUAAGCUGAGUGUUCUCACCAUAUUCAUCUAUUGGGGCAU